GAUGAAGAACGUAGCGAAAUGCGAUAAGUAAUGCGAAUUGCAGAAUUCCAGUGAGUCAUCGAAUCUUUGAACGCACAUUGCGCCCUUUGGUAUUCCGAAGGGCAUGCCUGUUCGAGCGUCAUUAUCACCCCUCAAGCCCCCGGCUUGGUGUUGGACGGCUUGGUGGAGACCCUUUUGUGGCCCACCCCUCCCAAAGACAAUGACGGCGGCCUCGUUGGACCCCCGGUACACUGAGUUCUUCACGGGACACGUAUCGGACACACGGGUUUACGGGUCACGAUCUGCCUCCCCUCAGGGAGAACUUUUCUAAGGUUGACCUCGGAUCAGGUAGGGAUACCCGCUGAACUUAAGCAUAUCAAUAAGCGGAGGA
This 370-nucleotide unclassified non-coding RNA is filed under the name soil metagenome. Its description in RNAcentral is "partial contains 5.8S ribosomal RNA, internal transcribed spacer 2, and large subunit ribosomal RNA". The stretch from base 1 to 121 matches the Rfam family "5.8S ribosomal RNA", at positions 35 to 154 of the family's 154-position model. The record is from RNAcentral.